AGCGUGCGUAGGCGGCCAAUUAAGUCAAAUGUGAAAUCCCCGAGCUUAACUUGGGAAUUGCAUUCGAUACUGGUUGGCUAGAGUAUGGGAGAGGAUGGUAGAAUUCCAGGUGUAGCGGUGAAAUGCGUAGAGAUCUGGAGGAAUACCGAUGGCGAAGGCAGCCAUCUGGCCUAAUACUGACGCUGAGGUACGAAAGCAUGGGGAGCAAACAGGAUUAGAUACCCUGGUAGUCCAUGCCGUAAACGAUGUCUACUAGCCGUUGGGGCCCUUGAGGCUUUAGUGGCGCAGCUAACGCGAUAAGUAGACCGCCUGGGGAGUACGGUCGCAAGACUAAAACUCAAAUGAAUUGACGGGGGCCCGCACAAGCGGUGGAGCAUGUGGUUUAAUUCGAUGCAACGCGAAGAACCUUACCUGGCCUUGACAUACAGAGAACUUUCCAGAGAUGGAUUGGUGCCUUCGGGAACUCUGAUACAGGUGCUGCAUGGCUGUCGUCAGCUCGUGUCGUGAGAUGUUGGGUUAAGUCCCGCAACGAGCGCAACCCUUUUCCUUAUUUGCCAGCACUUCGGGUGGGAACUUUAAGGAUACUGCCAGUGACAAACUGGAGGAAGGCGGGGACGACGUCAAGUCAUCAUGGCCCUUACGGCCAGGGCUACACACGUGCUACAAUGGUCGGUACAAAGGGUUGCUACACAGCGAUGUGAUGCUAAUCUCAAAAAGCCGAUCGUAGUCCGGA
This 733-nucleotide ribosomal RNA is filed under the name uncultured Acinetobacter sp. RNAcentral's name for it is "bacterial SSU rRNA". It matches the Rfam family "Bacterial small subunit ribosomal RNA", at positions 564 to 1297 of the family's 1533-position model. The record is from RNAcentral. Lineage: Bacteria; Pseudomonadati; Pseudomonadota; Gammaproteobacteria; Moraxellales; Moraxellaceae.